Molecule: transfer RNA, 77 nt
Filed under: Pseudomonadota bacterium
Lineage: Bacteria; Pseudomonadati; Pseudomonadota
Also listed under: 2 other names
Description: tRNA-His
Rfam family: tRNA
About the family: Transfer RNA (tRNA) molecules are approximately 80 nucleotides in length. Their secondary structure includes four short double-helical elements and three loops (D, anti-codon, and T loops).
Source: RNAcentral
GCCGGGAUAGCUCAGUUGGUCAGAGCGCUGGAUUGUGGAUCCAGAGGUCCUGGGUUCGACCCCCAGUCCCGGUACCA